GAGUUUGAUCCUGGCUCAGGACUAACGCUGGCUGGCGUGCCUAACACAUGCAAGUCUUGGGAGAAAGGGGUAGCAAUAUCCUGAGUAAACCGGCGCAAGGGUGAGUAACACGUAUGCAACCUGCCUUUAGGACGAGGAUAACUCCGAGAAAUCGGGGCUAAUACUCGAUUAUGCAGCGGCACCGCAUGGUGACAGUUGUUAAAAGCCCGCAAGGGUGCCUAAAGAUGGGCCUGCGUCCCAUUAGGUAGUUGGUGAGGUAACGGCCCACCAAGCCUACGAUGGGUAGCUGGUCUGAGAGGAUGAUCAGCCACACUGGAACUGAGAUACGGUCCAGACUCCUACGGGUAGGCAGCAGUGAGGAAUAUUGCGCAAUGUCCGAAAGGGUGACGCAGCGACGCCGCGUGGAGGAUGAAGGCCCUAUGGGUCGUAAACUCCUUUUAAGGGGGAAGAAUAGUCUCGUAUAGCGAGAUUUGACGGUACCUCUAGACGCUCAUGCUCGAAAGCGUGGGGAGCAAAUAGGAUUAGAUACCCUGGUAGUCCACGCCCUAAACGAUGGAUACUCGAUGUCGGGCCGCAAGGUCCGGUGUCCAAGCUAACGCAUUAAAGUAUCCCACCUGGGGAGUACGAUCGCAAGGUUGAAACUCAAAGGAAUUGACGGGGGCCCGCACAAGCAGUGGAGCAUGUGGUUCAAUUCGAUGCAACGCGAAGAACCUUACCUGGGUUUGGAAAAGCCAGUGACACCCGAUGAAAGUCGGUCUCGUAGCAAUACGCACUGGUACAGGUGCUGCAUGGCUGUCGUCAGCUCGUGCCGUGAGGUGUUAGGUUAAGUCCUGCAACGAGCGCAACCCCUACACUUAGUUGCCAUCAGGUCAAGCUGGGCACUCUAAGUGGACUGCCUACGCAAGUAGUGAGGAAGGCGGGGAUGACGUCAAGUCCUCAUGGCCCUUACACCCAAGGCCACACACGUGCUACAAUGGCCGCUACAAAGGGUCGCAAGAGCGCAAGCUGGAGCUAAUCCCAUAAAAGCGGUCUCAGUUCGGAUUGAGGGCUGCAACUCGCCCUCAUGAAGCUGGAAUUGCUAGUAAUCGCGGGUCAGCACGCCGCGGUGAAUACGUUCCCGGGCCUUGUACACACCGCCCGUCAAGCCAUGGAAGCUGGGGGUACCCGAAGUCGUUUUCCCAACCGCAAGGAGGGGAACGCCUAAGGUAAAAUCAGUGACUGGGGCUAAGUCGUAACAAGGUAGC
This 1244-nucleotide ribosomal RNA is filed under the name uncultured bacterium. Its description in RNAcentral is "partial 16S ribosomal RNA". It matches the Rfam family "Bacterial small subunit ribosomal RNA". The record is from RNAcentral.